This 593-nucleotide long non-coding RNA is filed under the name Sorghum bicolor (sorghum). Its description in RNAcentral is "long non-coding RNA (SBIC_LNC006122)". The record is from RNAcentral. Lineage: Eukaryota; Viridiplantae; Streptophyta; Magnoliopsida; Poales; Poaceae.
UUUUUUUUGUUUCACCUACAUACGCAUGGAGGGGCAGCUCUCCCCAAGAAUGCCGUGACAACGCAACCACAUUCUGUCCAUUCGUGUGUGAUCACCAUCCCUUUUUCGGAAGCUCUCAUGAGGCCGGCUUGGAUUCCUACCACUUUCGAGGUACCCUUUUGUUGCAUCCCCCUAGCUAACUUGCCAAACCACAAACAAUCAACGACCAAAUUAAAAAGGUUGAUUUGAUGAAAACAUAUAUAUGCCCUACCAUAUAUUUAUUAAUCGGGCUCAAGAUUAAGGUGGUCAUUCUUUGCUUAUAUUAUAGAGGCAAAAAAGGCUGUAGCUGAAUCUAUGUCUCCACUUCACAUCAAUCUCGUGCCUUCUUUUGUUUCGGCUAAAUGUGUAUGACAAAAAAAAACUUAGCAAAUAAUUACUAGCCAAAUUUCGGUAGGGAUAUUAAUUUUGGCACAAUUCAAACAAAGGAAAAAAAAAAUUCCACCAAUGUCUACCUUGCAUCAUUCACCUAAGGGCGUCCCUGACGGUUGACCAGCCCAAUCAGGAGGAAAGAGAAACAUAAAAAACUCACCAUGCUAGCGAGGUAGCAAGCGCUU